UACGUAGGUGGCAAGCGUUAUCCGGAAUUACUGGGCGUAAAGCGCACGCAGGCGGUCUUGUAAGUUUGACGUGAAAGCUCCCGGCUUAACUGGGAGAGGUCGUUGAAGACUGCAAGACUUGAGGAAAUGAGAGGGGUGUAGAAUUCCCGGUGUAGUGGUGGAAUGCGUAGAUAUCGGGGGGAACACCAGUGGCGAAGGCGACUACCUGGCCUGUUCUUGACGCUGAGGCGCGAAAGCUAGGGGAGCAAACGGG
This 253-nucleotide ribosomal RNA is filed under the name uncultured bacterium. RNAcentral describes it as "partial 16S ribosomal RNA". It matches the Rfam family "Bacterial small subunit ribosomal RNA", at positions 524 to 776 of the family's 1533-position model. The record is from RNAcentral.